UACGGAGGGUGCAAACGUUGCUCGGAAUCAUUGGGCGUAAAGCGCACGUAGGCGGUCCGUUAAGUCGGGAGUGAAAGCCCCAGGCUCAACUUGGGAAGUGCUUUCGAAACUGGCGGACUUGAAUACUGAAGAGGAUCGCGGAAUUCCCGGUGUAGAGGUGAAAUGCGCAGAUAUCGGGAGGAACACCGGUGGCGAAGGCGGUUCUCUGGGCCUUACCUGACGCUGAGGAGCGAAAGCGUGGGGAGCGAACAGG
This 253-nucleotide ribosomal RNA is filed under the name uncultured bacterium. Its description in RNAcentral is "partial 16S ribosomal RNA". It matches the Rfam family "Bacterial small subunit ribosomal RNA", at positions 524 to 776 of the family's 1533-position model. The record is from RNAcentral.